GCAUAUCAAUAAGCGGAGGAAAAGAAACCAACAGGGAUUGCCCUAGUAACGGCGAGUGAAGCGGCAACAGCUCAAAUUUGAAAUCUGGCGCAAGCCCGAGUUGUAAUUUGUAGAGGAUGCUUCUGGGCAGCGGCCGUUCUAAGUUCCUUGGAACAGGACGUCAUAGAGGGUGAGAAUCCCGUAUGUGACCGGCGCGCACCCUCCACGUAGCUCCUUCGACGAGUCGAGUUGUUUGGGAAUGCAGCUCUAAAUGGGAGGUAAAUUUCUUCUAAAGCUAAAUACCGGCCAGAGACCGAUAGCGCACAAGUAGAGUGAUCGAAAGAUGAAAAGCACUUUGGAAAGAGAGUUAAAAAGCACGUGAAAUUGUUGAAAGGGAAGCGCUUGCAACCAGACUCCGCGGCGGUGUUCCGCCGGUCUUCUGACCGGUCCACUCGCCGCCGUGGGGCCAUCAUCGUCUGGGGCCGUCGGAUAAGACCGUAGGAAUGUGGCUCCCUCGGGAGUGUUAUAGCCUGCGGUGAUGCGACGCGCCCCGGGCGAGGUCCGCGCUUCGGCAAGGAUGAUGGCGUAAUGGUUGCCAGCGGCCCGUCUUGAAACACGGACCAAGGAGUCUAACAUCUAUGCGAGUGUUCGGGUGUCAAACCCCUACGCGUAAUGAAAGUGAACGGAGGUGGGAGCUUCGGCGCACCAUCGACCGAUCCUGAUGUCCUCGGAUGGAUUUGAGUAAGAGCAUAGCUGUUGGGACCCGAAAGAUGGUGAACUAUGCCUGAAUAGGGUGAAGCCAGAGGAAACUCUGGUGGAGGCUCGCAGCGGUUCUGACGUGCAAAUCGAUCGUCAAAUUUGGGUAUAGGGGGCGAAAGACUAAUCGAACCAUCUAGUAGCUGGUUCUGC
This 888-nucleotide ribosomal RNA is filed under the name Paramycosphaerella parkii. RNAcentral describes it as "LSU rRNA". It matches the Rfam family "Eukaryotic large subunit ribosomal RNA", at positions 38 to 960 of the family's 3401-position model. Lineage: Eukaryota; Fungi; Ascomycota; Dothideomycetes; Mycosphaerellales; Mycosphaerellaceae. The record is from RNAcentral.